GUAGGGAAUCUUCCACAAUGGACGAAAGUCUGAUGGAGCAACGCCGCGUGAGUGAAGAAGGAUUUCGGUUCGUAAAACUCUGUUGCAAGGGAAGAACAAGUAGCGUAGUAACUGGCGCUACCUUGACGGUACCUUGUUAGAAAGCCACGGCUAACUACGUGCCAGCAGCCGCGGUAAUACGUAGGUGGCAAGCGUUGUCCGGAAUUAUUGGGCGUAAAGCGCGCGCAGGUGGUUCCUUAAGUCUGAUGUGAAAGCCCCCGGCUCAACCGGGGAGGGUCAUUGGAAACUGGGGAACUUGAGUGCAGAAGAGGAUAGUGGAAUUCCAAGUGUAGCGGUGAAAUGCGUAGAGAUUUGGAGGAACACCAGUGGCGAAGGCGACUGUCUGGUCUGUAACUGACACUGAGGCGCGAAAGCGUGGGGAGCAAACAGGAUUAGAAACCCGAGUAGUCC
Molecule: ribosomal RNA, 450 nt
Filed under: uncultured Solibacillus sp.
Lineage: Bacteria; Bacillati; Bacillota; Bacilli; Caryophanales; Caryophanaceae
Description: bacterial SSU rRNA
Rfam family: Bacterial small subunit ribosomal RNA
Source: RNAcentral